AGCUCUGUGGUGUUUGACAUGCGAGAUUGCAAAUCUCGAGUAGUAGAAUAAGAUCUACCGGGGCUU
Molecule: transfer RNA, 66 nt
Filed under: Pandaka pygmaea (dwarf pygmy goby)
Lineage: Eukaryota; Metazoa; Chordata; Actinopteri; Gobiiformes; Gobiidae
Description: tRNA-Cys
Source: RNAcentral